CAGCGGUGGGCACUGACCCUCCCCGACCCCACAGCAGCCCUAUGUGCCCCCGGCACAGCCCCUGGGCCCCCCCAGCCCCAGCCCCGCCGGGGGGGCCCCGGACCAGCUCAGCAAGACCAACCUCUACAUCCGGGGGCUGCACCCCGGCACCACGGACCAGGACCUGGUCAAGCUCUGCCAGCCCUACGGGAAGAUCGUCUCCACCAAAGCCAUCCUGGACAAGACGACCAACAAGUGCAAAGGCUACGGCUUCGUGGACUUUGACAGCCCCACGGCGGCCCAGAAGGCCGUGACGGCGCUCAAGGCCAGCGGGGUGCAGGCGCAGAUGGCCAAGCAACAGGAGCAGGACCCCACCAACCUGUACAUCUCGAACCUGCC
Molecule: long non-coding RNA, 378 nt
Organism: Neopelma chrysocephalum (saffron-crested tyrant-manakin)
Lineage: Eukaryota; Metazoa; Chordata; Aves; Passeriformes; Pipridae
Exons: 4
Source: RefSeq, a predicted model, not a curated record